This 492-nucleotide ribosomal RNA is filed under the name uncultured bacterium. RNAcentral describes it as "partial 16S ribosomal RNA". It matches the Rfam family "Bacterial small subunit ribosomal RNA", at positions 28 to 507 of the family's 1533-position model. The record is from RNAcentral.
GAUGAACGCUAGCUACAGGCUUAACACAUGCAAGUCGAGGGGAAACGACAUCGAAAGCUUGCUUUUGAUGGGCGUCGACCGGCGCACGGGUGAGUAACGCGUAUCCAACCUGCCCACCACUUGGGGAUAACCUUGCGAAAGUAAGACUAAUACCCAAUGACGUCUCUAGAAGACAUCUGAAAGAGAUUAAAGAUUUAUCGGUGAUGGAUGGGGAUGCGUCUGAUUAGCUUGUUGGCGGGGUAACGGCCCACCAAGGCGACGAUCAGUAGGGGUUCUGAGAGGAAGGUCCCCCACAUUGGAACUGAGACACGGUCCAAACUCCUACGGGAGGCAGCAGUGAGGAAUAUUGGUCAAGGGACGAGAGUCUGAACCAGCCAAGUAGCGUGCAGGAUGACGGCCCUAUGGGUUGUAAACUGCUUUUAUAAGGGAAUAAAGUGAGUCUCGUGAGACUUUUUGCAUGUACCUUAUGAAUAAGGACCGGCUAAUUCCGUG